RNAcentral lists this long non-coding RNA (557 nucleotides) under Mytilus galloprovincialis (Mediterranean mussel). The record is from RNAcentral. Lineage: Eukaryota; Metazoa; Mollusca; Bivalvia; Mytilida; Mytilidae.
AUACAACAGUAUACAAUUAUGGCCCGUUGAAGAGGUGAAUAUCCAAAAUUGUCAACACGAGAAGGUUAUUUCAUUGAGGGCGCAGCCCGAAGUGAAAUAACUUUUGAGGGUUGACAAUUUUGGAUAUUCAUCGAUUCUAAGGGGCCACAAUUGUUUUAUUAUACCGAACUAACAGUGGAAGUGCAUUUCGAACACAGACUGACGUUUGAAAAUACAUUUGUGUUCGAUUUUCUCGAAUAUACAACAAAAGUAGAAUCUUUUUGUAAAAUAUUGAUGGCCCUGAAAAGGACCGUUUAUAAGAGACAUCAUCGGCUGCUGCCACUCUCAGCUCUAUCUAUGUCCAAUGCCGUAUUUCCUCGUCUCUCGAUGGGCUUCCAGUGUAACGUGAACGCUGCCAUUUUGUUUAUUUACGUUUGUGACGUCAUUUUUAUGGGAGGUAACUCAAGUACAAAUAAACAAACUCAAAAGGUUAUUCACCGGUGAAUAAUAGGGUUAUUCACUGCUGGUGUAAAUUCUUUAGGGUUAUUCGUCCUUCCUUCAAUUGAAUGAAAAUUAAC